AUACGGAGGGGGCUAGCGUUGUUCGGAAUUACUGGGCGUAAAGCGCACGUAGGCGGAUUGGAAAGUUGGGGGUGAAAGCCCGAGGCUCAACCUCGGAAUUGCCUUCAAAACUACCAGUCUAGAGUCCGGGAGAGGUGAGUGGAAUUCCUAGUGUAGAGGUGAAAUUCGUAGAUAUCAGGAGGAACACCAGUGGCGAAGGCGGCUCACUGGCCCGGUACUGACGCUGAGGUGCGAAAGCGUGGGGAGCAAACAGGAUUAGAUACCCUAGUAGUCC
Molecule: ribosomal RNA, 274 nt
Filed under: uncultured bacterium
Lineage: Bacteria
Description: partial 16S ribosomal RNA
Rfam family: Bacterial small subunit ribosomal RNA
Source: RNAcentral